RNAcentral lists this ribosomal RNA (274 nucleotides) under uncultured bacterium. RNAcentral describes it as "partial 16S ribosomal RNA". It matches the Rfam family "Bacterial small subunit ribosomal RNA", at positions 523 to 796 of the family's 1533-position model. The record is from RNAcentral.
AUACGGAGGGGGCUAGCGUUGUUCGGAAUUACAGGGCGUAAAGCGCGCGUAGGCGGAUUGAUCAGUCAGGGGUGAAAUCCCGAGGCUUAACCUCGGAACUGCCUUUGAUACUGUCAAUCUUGAGUUCGAGAGAGGUGAGUGGAAUUCCUAGUGUAGAGGUGAAAUUCGUAGAUAUUAGGAAGAACACCAGUGGCGAAGGCGGCUCACUGGCUCGAUACUGACGCUGAGGUGCGAAAGCGUGGGGAGCAAACAGGAUUAGAAACCCUAGUAGUCC